UACAGAGGUCCCGAGCGUUGUUCGGAUUCAUUGGGCGUAAAGGGUGCGUAGGCGGCGGGGCAAGUCUGAUGUGAAAUCCUGGGGCUCAACCCUGGAACUGCAUUGGAUACUGCCUUGCUAGAGUACUGGAGAGGAAACUGGAAUUUACGGUGUAGCAGUGAAAUGCGUAGAGAUCGUAAGGAAGACCAGUGGCGAAGGCGGGUCUCUGGACAGUUCCUGACGCUGAGGCACGAAGGUCAGGGGAGCAAACGGG
This 253-nucleotide ribosomal RNA is filed under the name uncultured bacterium. Its description in RNAcentral is "partial 16S ribosomal RNA". It matches the Rfam family "Bacterial small subunit ribosomal RNA", at positions 524 to 776 of the family's 1533-position model. The record is from RNAcentral.